GGCUCUGUGCCGACAGCUCAGACCCUGGAGCCUGCUUCGGAUUCUGUGCCUCCCUCUCUCUCUGUCCCUCCCCCGCUCACGCUCUGUCUCUCUCUUUCUCAAAAAUAAACAUUAAAAAAAAUUUUUUAAUAAAAAAAAAGAAAUCAUUAAAAACAUUUUAAGCACAAUGAUGGAAUCUGGUUUUGUGUUUAAAUGCAUCCUGACAUAUUAAUAGAUGAGAGGACAAGACAUCAGUAUUACAGCUUUUGGAGCUUGUCCUAAACAAGGCCACGAAAAGAGGAUUAAGAGCCCCUACAGCUUUUUGCUCUUCAGUUUGGGAAUUGCCUUAUGUCCUGCUCCCUUUUCCUUCCCUGCGUGAUUUUCACAGCUUGGAUCUUACUUGGCCUUCUACCUGAUUCCCUCUUUGGUGCUGAAUCCAGGUGGGUUUGGUUAAACUCUGGUGCUUCCUUGGCAUGUUGUUUCCAGUAUGGACUCCUACAUGUCUACACACACCACGACCACAGGUCCCAUGGUUGGUGGCACAACUGAUUAUUCAAGUUCCAGAGAAUAUCUCAAACAUAACCAACACAGGUAAGUCUCUGUGUGGUAAAUGUUUUUCUUUUUUCCACAUGAGGGCACUUUGACUUCAGUGGCAAACAUGACA
This 643-nucleotide long non-coding RNA is filed under the name Felis catus (domestic cat). Its description in RNAcentral is "lncRNA (ENSFCAG00000049730.1)". The record is from RNAcentral. Lineage: Eukaryota; Metazoa; Chordata; Mammalia; Carnivora; Felidae.